GGAUUUAAGACACUGGAACAAGUUAUUUGCAAUGCUUCAAGAAUCUCCAGUCCUUUGAAAUAUGUGGCGGGGGUUUAACCGAUGUUGGUGUGAAAAAUAUCAAAGAUCUCCCCUCCUUAACGCUACUAAACGUUUCCCCAAACUGCAACCUCACAAACAAAUCCUUGGAGUUGAUUUCUGGACUGACUGCAUUGGUGUCGUUGAAUGUUUCGAACUCCAACAUAACUAAUGAUGGUUUGCCAUAUUUAAAGCCUCCAAAGAAUUUAUGGUCACUAUCGUUGGAGUCAUGCAAGGUAAGCGCCGCUGAAGAAGCUUCAGUCGGCCUUCCCC
Long non-coding RNA from Hibiscus syriacus, 330 nucleotides. RefSeq lists it as uncharacterized. The record is from RefSeq and is a predicted model, not a curated record. NCBI's taxonomy places the organism in Eukaryota, Viridiplantae, Streptophyta, Magnoliopsida, Malvales, Malvaceae. The transcript is spliced from 3 exons.